This 301-nucleotide ribosomal RNA is filed under the name uncultured bacterium. RNAcentral's name for it is "partial 16S ribosomal RNA". It matches the Rfam family "Bacterial small subunit ribosomal RNA", at positions 509 to 807 of the family's 1533-position model. The record is from RNAcentral.
CAGCCGCCACGGUAAUACGUAGGGUGCGAGCGUUGUCCGGAAUUACUGGGCGUAAAGAGUUCGUAGGCGGUUUGUCACGUCGUCUGUGAAAUCCUAGGGCUUAACCCUGGACGUGCAGGCGAUACGGGCUGACUUGAGUACUACAGGGGAGACUGGAAUUUCUGGUGUAGCGGUGGAAUGCACAGAUAUCAGGAAGAACACCGAUGGCGAAGGCAGGUCUCUGGGUAGUAACUGACGCUGAGGAGCGAAAGCAUGGGUAGCAAACAGGAUUAGAUACCCCAGUAGUCCCUGUCUCUUAUAC